UGAGAGGCUAUUGGGGAAGCCUCGUUGGAGUAGAAGAUGUCAGUGUAUUGGAGAUCCACGUACCAUGGGUUGAUCAUCAAGAACAACUACAACAGUGAAACACAGCCUAGAAUGCUACAGAGGGCGGGGCGGAGCUGGAAAAGUGAUGUCAGCCCUUUGGAGGAGCUCAGAAGCUCAUGUGUGAAUUCCAGACAUUGAAACAAGAAGCUAUAACCAUUGAAGGUGCCUUGGAGACCCCAAGAUGUUCGAGAUGCCAGAGCCUUGUGAUAUCUGCUGAGGAAAGCUGCUAACAGGGAGUUAAUUGAAUCAGCUGAGGAGAAAGAAGUUUGUUGCAG
RNAcentral lists this long non-coding RNA (335 nucleotides) under Androctonus crassicauda. The record is from RNAcentral. Lineage: Eukaryota; Metazoa; Arthropoda; Arachnida; Scorpiones; Buthidae.